CCAGUCAUAGCUCAGUCAUUCCAGUACACAACAUGACUAUGGCCACUGAUAACCUAUGGCCAUUACUGGCCUGAAGAUUACCACAGGCCACCCUUCCUCCAUUUGUGGCCCUGAGACACACUCAUCAACUCCUAGUAGCUCUGUUAAAAUAAAAGCUGGAGUUCAGUUUCCCUUUGCCCUGUCUGGCAGCAGGGGCCCAGCUUCACCAGCCUGGGAGGCAAGGUUACUAACAGACUCCUGGGGAUGGGCUCCUUAUGGCCACGCCCACACACACUCACUACAUGGAGCUACUCCGGCCAAGGCCAGAUGCAGAACUUCACCUUCAGGAACCUCUGGCCUGGACCAGAAGGAAGAGUGAACUUCCACUAGGAUCCUGAAGAAGUGGAGAAGGAGGCUGCCCCACCCCUCUGCCAGGCGUGGCCUUACCCUCUGUCCUGAGCUUCUUCCUUUGGGCCUUAGGGUCUGGUCAUAAGGCCCGAGAAGAGAUUCGCAGCUCUGACACCUGCUUCCCUCUCUCUGAGGCUUGGCUUCCUCAUCUUCUGAGGGGACAUCAUGUGUGCCUGGAAGGCCAUGAUGCUCAUGUGACCGUCAGUGCCGGGUCCCCUCACCCCAGUGGGUUCCAGAUCCUGGUGCCACUCUCCUGGGGUAUUAGACCUUUCCUUACACAGACCCUGUUUUUGUUUUGCUCAGUUUUGUUAUGUUUUCAAAAUAAACGUCUAGGCUUGUCUCAAA
Molecule: long non-coding RNA, 732 nt
Filed under: Mus musculus (house mouse)
Lineage: Eukaryota; Metazoa; Chordata; Mammalia; Rodentia; Muridae
Description: RIKEN cDNA 6330409D20 gene
Source: RNAcentral